This 253-nucleotide ribosomal RNA is filed under the name uncultured bacterium. RNAcentral describes it as "partial 16S ribosomal RNA". It matches the Rfam family "Bacterial small subunit ribosomal RNA", at positions 524 to 776 of the family's 1533-position model. The record is from RNAcentral.
UACGGAGGGUGCGAGCGUUGUCCGGAAUCACUGGGCGUAAAGGGCGCGUAGGCGGCCUGAUAAGUAGGGGGUGAAAUCCUGCGGCUUAACCGCAGGGCUGCCUUCUAAACUGUCAGGCUAGAGCACAGUAGAGGCAGGUGGAAUUCCCGGUGUAGCGGUGGAAUGCGUAGAGAUGUGGAGGAAUACCGAUGGCGAAGGCAGCCCCCUGGGAUAACACUGACGCUCAUGCACGAAAGCGUGGGGAGCAAACGGG